RNAcentral lists this ribosomal RNA (253 nucleotides) under uncultured bacterium. RNAcentral's name for it is "partial 16S ribosomal RNA". It matches the Rfam family "Bacterial small subunit ribosomal RNA", at positions 524 to 776 of the family's 1533-position model. The record is from RNAcentral.
UACGAAGGGGACUAGCGUUGUUCGGAAUCACUGGGCGUAAAGCGCACGUAGGCGGCUUCGUAAGUCAGGGGUGAAAUCCCGGGGCUCAACCUCGGAACUGCCUUUGAUACUGCGGGUCUUGAGUCCGAUAGAGGUGGGUGGAAUUCCUAGUGUAGAGGUGAAAUUCGUAGAUAUUAGGAAGAACACCGGUGGCGAGGGCGGCCCACUGGAUCGGUACUGACGCUGAGGUGCGAAAGCGUGGGGAGCAAACAGG